RNAcentral lists this ribosomal RNA (374 nucleotides) under uncultured organism. Its description in RNAcentral is "partial 16S ribosomal RNA". It matches the Rfam family "Bacterial small subunit ribosomal RNA", at positions 527 to 896 of the family's 1533-position model. The record is from RNAcentral.
GAACCGUACGAACGUUAUUCGGAAUCACUGGGCUUAAAGGGUGCGUAGGCGGCCUAGUAAGUUGGGUGUGAAAUCCCUCGGGCUCAACCGAGGGAACUGCGCUCAAAACUGCUAGGCUUGAGGAAGACAGAGGUGAGCGGAACUCAGGGUGGAGCGGUGAAAUGCGUUGAUAUCCUGGGGAACACCAGUAGCGAAAGCGGCUCACUGGGUCUUUUCUGACGCUCAGGCACGAAAGCUAGGGGAGCGAACGGGAUUAGAUACCCCGGUAGUCCUAGCUGUAAACGAUGAGCACUGGGUUGGAGGGUCCUCCAUAGCCUUCCAGCCGUAGCGAAAGUGUUAAGUGCUCCGCCUGGGGAGUAUGGUCGCAAAGGCUG